This 253-nucleotide ribosomal RNA is filed under the name uncultured bacterium. RNAcentral describes it as "partial 16S ribosomal RNA". It matches the Rfam family "Bacterial small subunit ribosomal RNA", at positions 524 to 776 of the family's 1533-position model. The record is from RNAcentral.
GACAGAGGGUGCGAACGUUGUUCGGAAUUACUGGGCGUAAAGCGCAUGUAGGCGGCAGCGCAAGUCGGGCGUGAAAUCCCACGGCUCAACCGUGGAAGUGCACUCGAAACUGCGCAGCUAGAGUCCUGGAGAGGAAGGUGGAAUGCUUGGUGUAGAGGUGAAAUUCGUAGAUAUCAAGCGGAACACCGGUGGCGAAGGCGGCCUUCUGGACAGUGACUGACGCUGAGGCACGAAGGUCAGGGGAGCAAACGGG